UACAGAGGGGGCAAGCGUUAUUCGGAAUUAUUGGGCGUAAAGGGCGCGUAGGCGGCUUUGCAAGUGACGGGUGAAAGCCCUCGGCUUAACCGAGGAACUGCCUGUCAGACUGUAAGGCUUGAGACCGGGAGAGGUGAGUGGAAUUCCCAGUGUAGCGGUGAAAUGCGUAGAUAUUGGGAGGAACACCAGUGGCGAAGGCGGCUCACUGGACCGGUACUGACGCUGAUGCGCGAAAGCGUGGGGAGCAAACAGG
Molecule: ribosomal RNA, 253 nt
Filed under: uncultured bacterium
Lineage: Bacteria
Description: partial 16S ribosomal RNA
Rfam family: Bacterial small subunit ribosomal RNA
Source: RNAcentral